RNAcentral lists this ribosomal RNA (253 nucleotides) under uncultured Deinococcus sp. Its description in RNAcentral is "partial 16S ribosomal RNA". It matches the Rfam family "Bacterial small subunit ribosomal RNA", at positions 524 to 776 of the family's 1533-position model. The record is from RNAcentral. Lineage: Bacteria; Thermotogati; Deinococcota; Deinococci; Deinococcales; Deinococcaceae.
UACGGAGGGUGCAAGCGUUACCCGGAAUCACUGGGCGUAAAGGGCGUGUAGGCGGCUAAGGAAGUCUAGUUUUAAAGACCUAGGCUCAACGUAGGGAAAGGACUAGAUACUGAAUAGCUAGACCUCUGGAGAGAGAACUGGAAUUCCUGGUGAAGCGGUGGAAUGCGUAGAUACCAGGAGGAACACCAAUGGCGAAGGCAAGUUCUUGGACAGAAGGUGACGCUGAGGCGCGAAAGUGUGGGGAGCGAACCGG